RNAcentral lists this ribosomal RNA (1368 nucleotides) under metagenome. RNAcentral's name for it is "bacterial SSU rRNA". It matches the Rfam family "Bacterial small subunit ribosomal RNA", at positions 8 to 1370 of the family's 1533-position model. The record is from RNAcentral.
AGAGUUUGAUUCUGGCUCAGAACGAACGCUGGCGGCGCGUUUUAAACAUGCAAGUCGUACGAGAAGCUCGGUGCUUGCACAUGAGUGGAAAGUGGCGAACGGGUGAGUAACACGUGAGUAAUCUUCCCUUAAGUUUGGGACAACUGUUCGAAAGGGCAGCUAAUACCGGAUAUGAGGAAACUUAAAAGGUGGGGACCUUCGGGCCUGCCGCUUGAGGAUGAGCUCGCGUCCCAUUAGCUUGUUGGUGGGGUAAAAGCCUACCAAGGCGACGAUGGGUAGCCGGCCUGAGAGGGUGAACGGCCACAUUGGGACUGAGAUACGGCCCAGACUCCUACGGGAGGCAGCAGUUAAGAAUCUUGGACAAUGGACGCAAGUCUGAUCCAGCGACGCCGCGUGAACGAUGAAGGCCUUCGGGUCGUAAAGUUCAGUAAGUUGGGACGAAGAAACAUUGGGGAAUACCUUGUGUUUUUUGACGGUACCUUCUGAAAGCCUCGGCUAAAUACGUGCCAGCAGCCGCGGUAAUACGUAUGAGGCAAGCGUUGUUCGGAAUUAUUGGGCAUAAAGGGCAUCUAGGCGGGAUGUUAAGUCGGGUGUGAAAGCCCAGGGCUCAACCCUGGAACUGCAUUCGAUACUGGCAUUCUUGAGUUCGGAAGAGGAAGGCGGAAUUCCUGGUGUAGCGGUGAAAUGCGUAGAUAUCAGGAAGAACACCGGUGGCGAAGGCGGCCUUCUGGUCUAGAACUGACGCUGAAGUGCGAAAGUGUGGGGAGCGAACGGGAUUAGAUACCCCGGUAGUCCACACCGUAAACGUUGUAUACUAGGUGUUAGCGCGUCAAGUGCUAGUGCCGUCGCAAAUGCAUUAAGUAUACCGCCUGGGGAGUACGCCCGCAAGGGUGAAACUCAAAGAAAUUGACGGGGGCCCGCACAAGCGGUGGAGCAUGUGGUUUAAUUCGAUGAUACGCGAAGAACCUUACCUGGGCUUGAACUUAUAUGGACCGGUGUAGAGAUACACUUUUCUCUUCGGAGACUGUAUGAGAGGUGCUGCAUGGUUGUCGUCAGCUCGUGUCGUGAGAUGUUGGGUUAAGUCCCGCAACGAGCGCAACCCCUACUGUCUGUUGCUACCAGGUAAUGCUGGGCACUCUGACGGAACUGCCGGUGACAAACCGGAGGAAGGUGGGGAUGACGUCAAAUCAUCACGGCCCUUAUGUCCAGGGCUACACACGUGCUACAAUGGCCGGUACAAAGCGCAGCGAAUCCGCGAGGUGGAGCAAAUCGCAAAAAACCGGUCUCAGUUCGGAUUGGAGUCUGCAACUCGACUCCAUGAAGUUGGAAUCGCUAGUAAUCGUGGAUCAGCAUGCCGCGGUGAAUACG